This 253-nucleotide ribosomal RNA is filed under the name uncultured bacterium. Its description in RNAcentral is "partial 16S ribosomal RNA". It matches the Rfam family "Bacterial small subunit ribosomal RNA", at positions 524 to 776 of the family's 1533-position model. The record is from RNAcentral.
CACGGAGGGUGCAAGCGUUAUUCGGAAUCACUGGGCGUAAAGAGCGCGUAGGCGGUCUCUUAAGUCAGAUGUGAAAGCCCGGGGCUCAACCCCGGAAGUGCAUUUGAAACUAAGUGACUUGAGUAUGGGAGAGGGAAGUGGAAUUCCUGGUGUAGCGGUGAAAUGCGUAGAUAUCAGGAGGAACACCGGUGGCGAUGGCGACUUCCUGGACCAAUACUGACGCUGAGGAGCGAAGGCGUGGGGAGCAAACAGG